This 253-nucleotide ribosomal RNA is filed under the name uncultured bacterium. RNAcentral describes it as "partial 16S ribosomal RNA". It matches the Rfam family "Bacterial small subunit ribosomal RNA", at positions 524 to 776 of the family's 1533-position model. The record is from RNAcentral.
UACGGAGGGUGCGAGCGUUGUCCGGAAUUAUUGGGCGUAAAGAGCUUGUAGGCGGUGUGUCGCGUCUGCUGUGAAAAUCCGGGGCUCAACCCCGGACUUGCAGUGGGUACGGGCAGACUAGAGUGUGGUAGGGGAGACUGGAAUUCCUGGUGUAGCGGUGGAAUGCGCAGAUAUCAGGAGGAACACCGAUGGCGAAGGCAGGUCUCUGGGCCAUUACUGACACUGAGAAGCGAAAGCAUGGGGAGCGAACAGG